CAAGGUCAGGAGAUCGAAACCAUCCUGGCUAACACAGUGAAACCCUGUCUCUACUAAAAAUACAAAAAAUUAGCCGGGCAUGGUGGCGGGCGCCUGUAGUCCCAGCUACUCGGGAGGCCAAGGCUGGAGAAUGGCGUGAAUCCAUGAGGCGGAGCUUGCAGUGAGCCGAGAUUGUACCACUGCACUCCAGCCUGGGGACAGACUCCCUCUCAAAAAAAAAAAAAGAAAAAAGCAAAUAAAACAGAGUAUAAUAAUGAAAUAUUGUAUAAUGAUAACAUGAUAGCAUUUGAGGAAGUGUCAAAUAAACAGCAUAGAAAUUUAGAGUGAUGUAGAAGUUCCACUGGAAACUGUUGUGGACUGGUGUGUUAAAGAGAGCUUUGUAAAACCAAUUUAGGCUCUACUUUGUAGCAAGAGGAGUAAUUAAUGUAGGUGAAGAGGUAAAGAAGGAUCUUGGGUCUGGGUAAGAAUGAAAGGAUGUAAAGAAAGAAGUUAUCCUUUAUAACUUGAACUAUAGAUCUGUUAUGUAAGCGGAAAAUAUGAAGGGCUGGUGCUGUGGUUUGAAUGUGUCCCCCAAUGUUCAUAUGUUAGAAACUUAAAUUCUGGCAUGAGCCACCAUGCCUGGCCCCAGAACGACAUUUGUUAUCCAGUACUUGUUGACCAUAUACUUAUAUUCCAGGUACUAUUUAGGUGAUGAGGAUAGCAUAGAGCAAAAUACAAAAAUACCCUUGUAGAGCUUGUAUUCAUAUGAUGCUAAAUUGGGGCAAAUCUUUAAGUAAUAACUUAAAGUGGGCAAGAUAGUAACCAAGAUGAAGUAUAAAUAAAUAAAAUAUCAAGAGCAGCCAUGUGUGAGGCAGUUUUUGAGAUGCCAUAACUGGGAGGAGAUUGACAUUUGAGAAAAGAUGACAGCUGCACUCAGGGAGCACUUGUUUGGCAUCUACUUACUGAACAUCUGCAAUGGGCAUGUGUUGGGCCCUUCACAUGCAUUAUCUCAGAUCGUGACGACAACCCUUUCAGGUUGGUGGAUAUGUCUUUCAUUUCAUAGAUGAGAAAAUCGAACAUUGGAAAAAUGAAAUCAUAGCAAGUAAGUGGCAUGGCUGACAUUUGAAUCAGCUGACGUCAGAAAGUAUAAGAGUAUGUGAAUAGUUAACAGUAAAAGUGAUUUAUUACAGGAGCAAUCAUAGGACUACCAAUGAUUAAUUUCUGAAGAAUUUUAUAGAUAGGUACCCUAGGAGCUCAGGGAAGGGAAAAGAAGUUGCUGCAUGUUAGAGUGGUCUGGGAAGAUGUCCUAGUAGAAGAUGGUUUGACCUGGAUCUUGAAGGAGG
Molecule: long non-coding RNA, 1322 nt
Filed under: Homo sapiens (human)
Lineage: Eukaryota; Metazoa; Chordata; Mammalia; Primates; Hominidae
Description: HSALNT0166392
Source: RNAcentral